AGCAGCCGCGGUAAUUCCAGCUCCAAUAGCGUAUAUUAAAGUUGCUGCAGUUAAAAAGCUCGUAGUUGAAUUUCGGGACUAAUAUGUCGGUCGUGCCUCGGUACGUACUGGCUUAUUGGUUUCUCCUUUCUGAAGAACCAUGAUGUCAUUUAUUUGGUGUCGUGGGGAAUCAGGACUGUUACUUUGAAAAAAUUUAGAGUGUUUAAAGCAGGCUUACGCUUGAAUACAUUAGCAUGGAAUAAUGAAAUAGGACGUUUGAUUCUAUUUUGUUGGUUUCUAGGAUCGACGUAAUGAUUAAUAGGGAUAGUUGGGGGCAUUAGUAUUCAAUUGUCAGAGGUGAAAUUCUUGGAUUUAUUGAAGACUAACUACUGCGAAAGCAUUUGCCAAGGAUGUUUUCAUUAAUCAAGAACGAAAGUUAGGGGAUCGAAGACGAUCAGAUACCGUCGUAGUCUUAACCAUAAACUAUGCCGACUAGGGAUCGGAUGAUGUUAAUUUUUUAAUGACUCAUUCGGCGCCUUAC
This 520-nucleotide ribosomal RNA is filed under the name uncultured Glomus. Its description in RNAcentral is "SSU rRNA". It matches the Rfam family "Eukaryotic small subunit ribosomal RNA", at positions 569 to 1091 of the family's 1831-position model. The record is from RNAcentral. Lineage: Eukaryota; Fungi; Glomeromycota; Glomeromycetes; Glomerales; Glomeraceae.